CGGGACGGGGUGGAGUAAUGUCUGGGAAACUGCCUGAUGGAGGGGGGUAACUACUGGAAACGGUAGCUAAUACCGCAUAACGUCGCAAGACCAAAGAGGGGGACCUUCGGGCCUCUUGCCAUCGGAUGUGCCCAGAUGGGAUUAGCUAGUAGGUGGGGUAACGGCUCACCUAGGCGACGAUCCCUAGCUGGUCUGAGAGGAUGACCAGCCACACUGGAACUGAGACACGGUCCAG
RNAcentral lists this ribosomal RNA (235 nucleotides) under uncultured bacterium. Its description in RNAcentral is "partial 16S ribosomal RNA". It matches the Rfam family "Bacterial small subunit ribosomal RNA", at positions 104 to 334 of the family's 1533-position model. The record is from RNAcentral.